Molecule: ribosomal RNA, 1492 nt
Filed under: metagenome
Description: bacterial SSU rRNA
Rfam family: Bacterial small subunit ribosomal RNA
Source: RNAcentral
AGAGUUUGAUCCUGGCUCAGAUUGAACGCUGGCGGCAUGCCUUACACAUGCAAGUCGAACGGUAACGCGGGGGCAACCCUGGCGACGAGUGGCGAACGGGUGAGUAAUACAUCGGAACAUAUCCAGUAGCGGGGGAUAACCUAUCGAAAGAUGGACUAAUACCGCAUACGAUCUACGGAUGAAAGUAGGGGACCGCAAGGCCUUGCACUAUUGGAGUGGCCGAUGUCGGAUUAGCUAGUUGGUGGGGUAAAAGCUUACCAAGGCGACGAUCCGUAGCUGGUCUGAGAGGACGAUCAGCCACACUGGAACUGAGACACGGUCCAGACUCCUACGGGAGGCAGCAGUGGGAAUUUUGGACAAUGGGCGCAAGCCUGAUCCAGCCAUGCCGCGUGAGUGAAGAAGGCCUUCGGGUUGUAAAGCUCUUUCGGUGAAGACGAAACGGUUCAUGCUAAUAACGUGAACUAAUGACGGUACUCACAGAAGAAGCACCGGCUAACUACGUGCCAGCAGCCGCGGUAAUACGUAGGGUGCAGGCGUUAAUCGGAAUUACUGGGCGUAAAGCGUGCGCAGGCGGUUUGCUAAGACAGGUGUGAAAUCCCCGGGCUUAACCUGGGAAUUGCGCUUGUAACUGGCAAGCUAGAGUGUGGCAGAGGGGGGUGGGAUUCCACGUGUAGCAGUGAAAUGCGUAGAUAUGUGGAGGAACACCGAUGGCGAAGGCAGCCCCCUGGGUUAACACUGACGCUCAUGCACGAAAGCGUGGGGAGCAAACAGGAUUAGAUACCCUGGUAGUCCACGCCCUAAACUAUGUCAACUAGCUGUCGGGGAAGAAAUUCCUUGGUAACGAAGCUAACGCGUGAAGUUGACCGCCUGGGGAGUACGGCCGCAAGGUUAAAACUCAAAGGAAUUGACGGGGACCCGCACAAGCGGUGGAUUAUGUGGAUUAAUUCGAUACAACGCGAAAAACCUUACCUACCCUUGACAUGCUAGGAAGCCCGCAGAGAUGUGGGUGUGCCCGAAAGGGAACCUAGACACAGGUGCUGCAUGGCUGUCGUCAGCUCGUGUCGUGAGAUGUUGGGUUAAGUCCCGCAACGAGCGCAACCCUUGCCAUUAGUUGCUACAUUCAGUUGGGCACUCUAAUGGGACCGCCGGUGACAAACCGGAGGAAGGUGGGGAUGACGUCAAGUCCUCAUGGCCCUUAUGGGUAGGGCUUCACACGUAAUACAAUGGUCGGUACAGAGGGCUGCCAACCCGCAAGGGGGAGCUAAUCCCAGAAAGCCGAUCGUAGUCCGGAUUGUAGUCUGCAACUCGACUGCAUGAAGCCGGAAUCGCUAGUAAUCGCGGAUCAGCAUGUCGCGGUGAAUACGUUCCCGGGUCUUGUACACACCGCCCGUCACACCAUGGGAGUGGGUUCCACCAGAAGUAGUUAGCCUAACCGCAAGGAGGGCGAUUACCACGGUGAGAUUCAUGACUGGGGUGAAGUCGUAACAAGGUA